AAAGGGGUGGACCAUUAAUUCAACACAGAAUUGAACUGAAGGGAAUGCAGAGAGCCCUUCUUUCCUGACCCAGAAAGGGAAACAACUGUGACUACACUGCAAAAGGUGCUGGGAUGUAUACCUAGCCAAAGUUCCACGCUUAAGUCAUAGUUAAGUAAUACAGACUGAAGCCAACAACCAUGCAAAUCCAGCCUCAUUUGCACAGCAGCAUGAGAAGCAUGCAAGAACCAUCACAAUUACUGAACACAAUCCCAAGUUUAAAGAAGAUAAAACCUGUGAACAAAGACGGCACAGCAGUAACAAAUCCUGAAUUCAUGUUUUAUAGCACUUAAAAGCACAAUUUGAUCACAGGACCACAGCAAUGGGAGGUAUAUAUCCUCAAGCAGAAGAACAGAAGUGAGCAGCAUAGCAUUAGAGCAGGCUGAGUGGACCAGAGCUGCAGCACACCUGGGUCACAGCGAGAUGUGCACAGCCAAAAGGUACUCCCUCCACCUGCUGCAUCCACAGCUAGCACUGGCUGUGCCUUACAUUUGUCCUCAAGGUUCAAAGAUACACUGUGGAACGAUCCUGUUGUGCUAAUCACGGCCCCUUGCAAUAUCAUUGAUACAAACAGUCAACGUGUAAAGGGGCUAAGAGAAAAACACUUUUUUGGUUUAGGACACUUCACUCUCCCUCAAAAAUGUUUCCUUAGUAAAGUGCAAAAUGAAUGAAAACACAACUCAAUCAUACCCCAUUA
This 736-nucleotide long non-coding RNA is filed under the name Anser brachyrhynchus (Pink-footed goose). RNAcentral describes it as "lncRNA (ENSABRG00000020378.1)". The record is from RNAcentral. Lineage: Eukaryota; Metazoa; Chordata; Aves; Anseriformes; Anatidae.